CCAAUUGUGUGGGAUCCAGACAAGGCAACCAUCGAUUAAAGUAGGUUUCAGAGAUUAUUGGGGAAUGAAAAGAGAAGGGUCCGGUGAAAAGUUGAUGACGAUGGCGGAGAGCGACGGUGAAUAUGGUUGCUUCACCCCUAGUCGCGGAGAGUGCAGAAUACCAGAGCCGAAGGUGUGCCCGCCACCACCAAAGAAGAAGCCAUAUAUAGCAGUUGGAAAGAAGAAGAAGGAGCCACCCAAGAAUGGCUACUUUCAACCUCCUGACCUUGAGCUCCUUUUCUCCAUGGGUUCAAGGCGUCAAGCUUGCGCCUGACAGAUGACUGCAACGUCCGCUUGGCGAGUUGGGUCAUUUUUGUUUCUUUGAUAGAUAGCGUUAUUGGCUGCUGGGUCAUGUUAAAGAAGAAGAAGAGAAAGGCUGAGCCGUGACUGUGUGAGUGUAUAUAAAUUAGAAAAUUAAUGUAAAUUUAUGACUUAAAGUUAUGUUUUUAGCUGACUUUUUUUGGUGUUAAAGGAAGUAUCAAGUUGGUAGAAUAUUGUUUGAUUUUGGUGGUACCCAAAUGGACUAAUCAAAGCAAUAUGUUUAUGUUUAAGUUUUGAAUUUGUUUGGCAUUCUGAUUCUCUGCACUGUGUUUAUGUUUAUGUUCAAGUAUUUUAUAUUGUUUCGGAUGGAUUAAUUUUGAUGGUGCCUUUUCCUUUCCUUAAUUUUGUACAAAUUCAGUAUUUCUUUUAAAGGAAAAAAGUUUGUAUAUUAUAUGCGGAGGAAUUAUACAGUGUACAUGCAUAAUUAUGUGAAAUUUAUCAGAGAAUUCAUAUUUUUAUGAGAAAAAUGUGCAGGCCGAAUGGUAAGAGAUAUGGUGUGAGGUGAUUGAUCUUAAGUCGCAAACUCAUUGUAUGUGAGAAAUGCCCAUUCCCUGACUUCAUGUUGAUCUUCAAAUGCCGAGUGCAGACCACCACUUCAAAUAAAUAAACAAAACGGCUACGAAAAGAUGCCCAAGAAAAUUCUCAUUUUCAUGGCCACUCUACUAGGCAACAUUUUGCUCAAUUUAUCACAAAUUCCAUUGAAAUCAGUACUCCACACUCCACCUCUCCCCUUCAUUUAUCUUAAAUUUAACACAUUUUAUCCUCAUAAUAUCCUUUUUAUUGUGUAUGAACAUAAUUAAUGAUUUAUUUUAAUAAUUAUAAUUUGUAUAAGCCCAAUAAUCCUAUUAAUAUGUCAAAUUUAUUAUUAUUGUUAUUGUUUCAUAUGAUUUUCAGGUGUGACAAUCAAGUUAAGUCAUUAUUUUUUGUUUAUUUUAAAACUCUAAUAAUGCUUAAAUUAAAAUGUCUAUUAGUUUAACAACUUACAAUUAAAGAAUAGUCAGAAUUCAAUAACCAAAUUAAGACUAUUGUCUAAAAAAUAUAUAGAUCUCACUUAUUAUGAGCAUAAAACAUGGAACAACAGCAUGAGAAACACAUUACUUGAGCAUCAUGCUACUCUUUAUAAUAACUAGUAAUUAAAUAAUUGAUUGUUCAUAAAGAGAAAACACAAAAAAAA
Molecule: unclassified non-coding RNA, 1534 nt
Filed under: Hevea brasiliensis (rubber tree)
Lineage: Eukaryota; Viridiplantae; Streptophyta; Magnoliopsida; Malpighiales; Euphorbiaceae
Source: RNAcentral